This 54-nucleotide transfer RNA is filed under the name Leucauge celebesiana. RNAcentral describes it as "tRNA-Phe". Lineage: Eukaryota; Metazoa; Arthropoda; Arachnida; Araneae; Tetragnathidae. The record is from RNAcentral.
AUUUAUAUAGCUUAUACAAGAGCAAUUUACUGAAGAUAAAGAAGACUAAACAUU